GGGGACGAUCGGCUUCGACGGUGGAUGGAGGUGCUCGAAUGGAGCGCUCCGGCAUCGCUCGCCGCGGUGCGUAUCUGCCGGACGCGGGUUCGACUCCCGCCGUCUCCAUCG
This 111-nucleotide transfer-messenger RNA is filed under the name Candidatus Uhrbacteria bacterium. It matches the Rfam family "transfer-messenger RNA". From Rfam's summary of the family: Bacterial tmRNA, also known as 10Sa RNA or SsrA, is named for its dual tRNA and mRNA-like properties. Its role is to liberate the mRNA from a stalled ribosome. The record is from RNAcentral. Lineage: Bacteria; Candidatus Uhriibacteriota.